ACUGGUAGAAAAAGGGGCUGCAGAGCAUACAAAGAAAUCAGACAGGACUAAGGGAUCUGGCUCUCCAGUUUAUUGGCAUAUUGCAGACGCCAGAAAGAAAAAAAGAAGCCAGAGAUAAUCGCAGAUUACAACCGUUGCAAGGGAGGUGUCGACAAUCUAGACAAGGUUUGUUCUUCUACAGGAAAUUCAAGAGGCCACAAGAUGCAAAAAGCUUCAUCAACUGACCAGCUUUGCAGAAAGAAGCCUUUUGCACAAGGCUUUGCAAAUCAAAUAAAGGAACAGCUGAGUAAAGGUGGUGCUUACACCUCUUUCCCAAUGAGCCUUCUUUUGAUUGUAGUGGAAACAAUAGUUGAUGGUGAAUUUCCAUGCCCAUGCAGAGUGGAGCUGAAUGCAAUGUUCUCACUAUCCAUCUUCAUAGGACCAAUUCUUUUUGCUUUUACUUUAAUGGUACUGUUGUUAAGACCUUGUAAGUACUUUCAUGGAACAUUUUGGUGUGAUGAAACUAAGUUGGACUGUGCUAAAUCUUUCCUGCAUUGUUUGAUUCCACCUACUGUGUGGGUCAUUAUUGUGUUCCUCGAUGGCAGAUAUCUUGCCUGUGCCUGGACAGACUGGAAUGGAAUUUAUUCGCAUGAAAAUAAUUUAAAUUUGCAAUGGUGUAAGCCUACUCAAUCAGGAAGAAAUGCGACAGAACUACAAGAUCUAUCUCGCAAGUAUAUUGGUGUGUCCCAGUUAACAGGUUAUAUAAUGGUCUCUGCCCUUUCCGCAAUAAUAUUGAUCAUCGUGGCUACUUAUGAUUGCUGCAGAAAUGGAAAUGAACUGCAACCAGUGGAGUACCAGGAAAUGGGAGCAUUUCAACCUUGCAAUAACACCACCGAAUCUACGGAACCAGCAGAACCUUAGUGCAUAGUGUAGGAAAAUAAUACAACUGUUUAUAAUUGGAUUUUUAUUUAUUUUGAUCCAGUCAUCAAGAUUAUACAGUAAUUUUAAUCUAUCAUAAUUCUUGAGUUUUAAGAGGAGUUUAAAAUGAAAGUUAUGGAGGUGACUGAUCACUUAGUCCGGUCAAUCACAACUUAAGACGCUUUCCUGCAGCAAUUCUUCCAUCAUUCCACUUUGCCUCAGCUUCAACUGUAUUUUUAAUAUAAUAUGUGAGGAUAUUAUAUUUUUAUGAAGAUGUGAAUACACCAAUGUGCUACUCACAUUAACAAACUGCCAUUAGACCAAAUAACUUUUUUUCUCCUCGUUUUUACUGUAAUACUGUAAACAAUUUAAAAAUCUGAGUCCACAUUGAAAAUCUGAGAUUUUAAAUUCCAUUUGGUAAUAGACAGAAAGUUUGUUGAUUACGUGAAUAAGAACUGUUUAAGAUUUCUAGGUCACUAAACAACUUUAGGCAAAUACCAUACAGAAAUUAAUUUUUCUAUUCAAAUUUUCACUAAAAAUUUUAUGCUGAUAAUAUAAUUUAUCAUGAAAAUCUGUAUCAAAAAAAUACAUAUGGAACCCACCAUUUACUGAAUGCACAGUUAUUCGUCUCUGUUUAUUUACUGUACAUCUCCCUCUAAUUGUCUUUUCUAUAGAUCAGAGCCAUUGUGAUGUGAGUUACUUUUUUUAACCUUUGCUUUUUAUUUGACUUCAUUUCUAUUUAAAUAUAGAAAUGUAUAUUUGAGGAAAUGUUAAGAUUUCACUGCAUGAAUUUGUAAUAUUACUGAUUUACUUUACAAAUGUCACCCAUAUGCAUGCUGGCAACAAUACAUGAAAGAAUUAUAUUGAGCUUUUUUAUAUGUUGUUACUGCCAUUUGAUUCUUUGAUCUGUGUGCCUGUUGUGUUAUAAUCCUAACAUUCUGCAUUUAUGCUCCACUGAGAAAAAUGUCAUACAGCCUUUGCAACAACAUGAGGGUGAGUGAAUGAUAACAGAAUUUUCUUUUUGGGGGAACAAUUGCUAGGAUGCUAUUUGUUUCUCAAAAAAAAAAAAAAAAUGAAAAACAAACAGCUGAAAAACUGUCUAUACAUACAGUGUAUAUAUAUAUAUAUAUAUAGAUGAUAGAUAUUCACUGUAAUUAAUCAUAGAUUUGUGUGAUUAGAUGAGCAGCAUUUAAAGCAUAGUAAAAUACUGUAUAAACACACCUGUGAUCUCAUAUUCAUGGCAACUUAGCUUGGCAACUGCAAAUGUUAUAUAGUGAAUACAUGUUAUGUUAAUGCAUAUUUCUAUUUUCUAUAUAAAAUUGCUAAAUGUAAUUUUUCUAAUACUGCUAAAUAUUGUUAGAUUUCCUAUUCGUGCUUUAUGUUAAAAAAAUUUAACAUAAAAAGUGUUAUGUGUAAUUGUCUUUUCUAUAGAUCAGAGUUGCUUUUUUUUAACCUUUGCUUUUUAUUUGACUUUAUUUCUAUUUUAAUAUAGAAAUGUAUAUUUGAGGAAAUUUUAAGAUUUCCUAAGUUUCCUAACACCCGUUUCACACAUACUCCGUGUGCAGUGCGUAUUGCGGUGUAUACGGUACAGGAGCAGCACGCGCUAUAGUGCUUUCACAUAUGCUGCGUUUGCAGUGCGCUACUGAUCCGCAGAUUCUGUGUGCCACAAAAUCAAAAAUGUGUAAGUAAUUUUGAUUUUAAAUCCAAACGUUAACUUUGACAUUGUUUAAGACAUUGAAACAGUAUGAAAAUUAAUUUUAAUCAUUGUGAUUCUUUGUUUUACAUGUAGAUCGAGUUGUUGACAGAAGAAAAACUAUCGCGCUAUAUCUGUUGCUAAGAAGGAGAAGAAUGAGACGCAUUUGGGUUCACUCUGUCUUUUUGUAGGGUAAAAAAAUCAUAUAUGAUGGCAUUUUGCAACUUUUGGGACUAUAAUCAUACUUUUUUGUUUUUCUUGACCCUGUAAUUUAGUAACUGUAGAACACAUUAACUGUAAUUAUGCGUAUAUGAUGAAAUUAUUACAGUUUCUUGUCAAUCUGUCUAUUUUAAUGUGAACAAAUCAGAGGCGGCGGCAGCCGAUUUUGCCGGGGCUUCAGCCCCGAAUGUUUUGAGUGUAGCCCCGAAUGAAUUUUGAAAAGUUGACUGACAAAUAUGAAACCGGACAAUAGCCAAUGUAAAUCCCCGAAAUCAUAAGUUGCCUUAUUUCAUUGUGCUUUGGCUUUGCACAUACUGCAUACAGCCUGUAAAAAUAGACAUAGGCAUAAUCUAGCCUAUAGAAUAAGUUUCUUUGCUGUCGGUAGCCUAUGGGCGACUCCGUUUCUUCCUCUCUGUUGAAUAUGCAGCAGGUGGGGAGGAGCUGACAUCAACUUACGUUACUUAGUGGCGAGUUAACAGCAGUUAGUAGGAAAGACAGCAAAAAUGAAGCAAAUGAGGCUUCUAAAAUUUCCGAAAGAAGUCAGUGGGUAAGAAUUCACAUUUGUUUUUGUCCUUUAAAGUCUAAAGAUUAUCAUCUGACUGGCUUUCACCCACAGUAGGCUAAACCUCAAGAGAUCCACUACCGACUGCUAUGACAUGUUAUAGCCUCUAGCCUUGUGGUUAGCGUAUUUGCCUGUCAUGUCGGAUACCAUGGUUCGAGUCCCGUUUGGAGUAUAAUUUUCUUGUUUAUCAGGUGUUGUUUUCUCUAAGGAUAACCAAUAAGCAUUAGCAUAAAAUGUAUGUGUGACUUGUUUUGUGAUAUUACUUUGUUGUAAAUAUACACUUUGAGGGUAGCAAAGAUGUGCCAGAAUCAGGCAUGGAAACUGGCAAUUAAUCAGUCACUUUACUUUAGAGAAAGUUAAAAGUGAAACAUUGUUUAUCCCAAUGAUCCUAAUGAAAGGAUUUUGACAGAUGAACAUGGAGAAUUAUAUACAGUUCAAUGCCAUGGUGUGUCAAUGAACUUAGACUAAAGUCAUUCAUGUAUUGCUUUAACUUAGGAUCUUAUACAUCAUUUUGACUAUUUAUGUCAAAAAAUAUAAAUUAUUUAUAUGAAAAAAAAUGUUUUUACUUCACUUUACUCACUAUAAUAUAACUCAUUUGUAAUGACUUUAUGUUAAUGUACAUGAAAAUUCAAGAAUCAUGAUAGAUCUAAGGGCAAUCUCACUGAUCUGCUCUUCUUCAAUAGUAUUGGUCCACAAUUUGACAUAUGUAGCACUUGAUGAAUUAGUUGUUUGAAGCUGAUUUGCAAUAAGUUAUGUGCUGUAUCUGUUCUUUUGCAUCACAUAUGAUUCAGGGAGGAGAGAGGAUGAGUUAGUCGAGGAUAGUACUAGAGUGGAAGAUUUAGGAACUGUAGAAACAGGCCCAGCCAGAGCAAAACUCAAAGAAUACCCUCUCACCAGCUUUGGACUACAGGGAAGUGGUUGCUAGUGUGAAAAUAAAAUGGUCUGGGCUAAGCCCCGGAUGUCCUUAAAUGCUGGAAACGCCUCUGUGAACAAUGCGCUGCCACUUUAAUUCAAUGCGGUGCAGCAGAGCCAAAAUAGACUCGGUGCGGAAACGAUCGCUGCACUGCUGUAUACGCACCGCAACUGGAACGGAUCGACGGACUGCAUCCGCGUGCAGUGUAAAAGCUCUAACCUGUUAACAUGGGUACGGAAAAAAAUAUGCGCCGCAUACGCACCGCAUACACACUGCAAACGGAGUAUGUGUGAAACGGGCAUCAGUUUAUAAUUCA
Molecule: long non-coding RNA, 4600 nt
Organism: Xyrauchen texanus (razorback sucker)
Lineage: Eukaryota; Metazoa; Chordata; Actinopteri; Cypriniformes; Catostomidae
Exons: 4
Source: RefSeq, a predicted model, not a curated record